Molecule: ribosomal RNA, 253 nt
Filed under: uncultured bacterium
Lineage: Bacteria
Description: partial 16S ribosomal RNA
Rfam family: Bacterial small subunit ribosomal RNA
Source: RNAcentral
UACGUAGGGUCCGAGCGUUGUCCGGAAUUACUGGGCGUAAAGAGCUCGUAGGUGGUUUGUCGCGUUGUCCGUGAAAACUCACAGCUCAACUGUGGGCGUGCGGGCGAUACGGGCAGACUGGAGUACUGCAGGGGAGACUGGAAUUCCUGGUGUAGCGGUGGAAUGCGCAGAUAUCAGGAGGAACACCGGUGGCGAAGGCGGGUCUCUGGGACGGUACUGACGCUGAGACGCGAAAGCGUGGGGAGCGAACAGG